AGAGUUCGAUUGUCCCUUCACCGGCGAGAAGGUGCUGCUCGUCCCGGCAUUGAAUCCCGAUGUUGCGGUGAUCCACGUGCAGCGCUGCGACGCUUACGGCAACGCCCAGAUCGAUGGCUUGCAGUUCAUGGAUAUCGAUCUGGCAAUGGCGGCCAACCGCGUGAUCCUGACCACAGAGCGGAUCGUUUCCAAUGAUCAGAUCCGCCGCGCGCCCGACCAGACCAAGAUUCCAUUCUUCUGUGUCGAUGCGGUGGUCGAAGUGCNCUCCGCCCCACAUGAAUGUUACGGCGUCUACGAGCCGAUGAUGAAUCAUCUCAACGCUUACGUGGCGCAGGUGAAUGGUGAUCCCGUCGGUGGGAUGGAGAAGUAUCUAGACGAGUAUGUCUACGGCCCGAAAACCUGGAACGAUUUUCUUGCGAAGAUCGGAA
RNAcentral lists this unclassified non-coding RNA (428 nucleotides) under Hevea brasiliensis (rubber tree). The record is from RNAcentral. Lineage: Eukaryota; Viridiplantae; Streptophyta; Magnoliopsida; Malpighiales; Euphorbiaceae.